UACAGUACUCUGAAGUGCUGAAUAAAUGAGGAACUUACUUUAACUUCCUGUUUACUCCGUAUGUUCAAACAAAAGGUAUGGCAUCUCUUACAUUACAUCGUUUUCUAUCAGCUCUUGUCCAAGGAUCAGAGUUCAGCACUGAGACUCUGAAACGGUUUGUUCUAAAGGGACAAAAUGUUCAUCUGGAUGUCCAAGGAUAUGCUAAACUAAAUAAUAUUGAGGAUUUAAAGUGGACGUUUAACAAAGCUCACACUUUAGUAAAAUACUCCAAUGAAUCAUCAAKAGUGAAAAUAUACACUAAAUACCAAGGCAGGGUUGAGUUUAGGGAGGGAAACUUCUCUAUAAUACUGAGGAACCUACAGGAAGGAGACAGUGGACUUUAUGAGGCAGGAGUGAGUGGUGAAGAAAACAAAGAUGUUGCCAAGUACCAGAUAUCAGUUCAAGAGAGAGUUAAGCCUCCAGUCCUGACAGUGAACUCUGUCACCUCCAUCAAUGCCAUCUGUAAUGUGACUGUGACCUGCAGAGGUCAGAUCACCUCUGUCACCUCCAGCUGUAACAGCAGCACCUGCUCUCAGGUGGGAGGAGAGAGUAGAGGGGCUGAGACCUCCACUGUCCCCCUGCUCUCUGUCUAUGUGGCAGGGGGUUCCAUCAUCUGUAACCACAGCAACCAAGUCAGCUGGGCCCCUGACACGAAGGAGAUCGAAACUGUUUGUGCAUCCAAAUCUAAACUAGAGAGGGAUGAAGCGGACCACAACUACGCUGCCACAGUCUGGAAAGGAGGUCCUGUCGGCAUCAUCAUCAUCAUCAUCAUCAUCGUCGUCGUUGCCUGGAUUGCUUGGUGAAAGCUAAAUAAAGGUGGCAAAAGAGAAGUUUCAAACACAGAUUAUACUACAGUUGGGACUCCAGAUAACAGCCAAGCAGGUGGUGAAGAGCAGGUGUCUCCAGGUCCAGGACCAACAUCACCCACCAUCUACAGUAUGGUGGGACAUCCACACCAGCCUCCACCUGUGGUCCUCCCCAUGUCCACCAUGCCCUCCAUGACGUCCAUGCCUGAGAGUUUAUAUUCUGUGGUCGGGCCCAACAAACAAUCAGGCAUUUAUACAUCUUAGGUCGGGAUUCUAUUCAAUUUUAUAAGAUCACCAUUUGUCGGCUAAGCAAAUUUUAAAGGUUCCCGCAUUCUUGGAGACUUCAUUCACAGUAAAUGUUGCAUGUGUCGGCUUAAUCAGAAAUUACCAAUUCAGUUGCGCUAUAACCCAGAUCUUCCGCUGUCCAGACUGAAUCUAGCCGUUAUUCUCAAUAGCCCUGUUUAUACCUGGUUCUCACAUGUCCUWUGGCCUGAUCUUGUCAACUUUCUGAUUGUGCCCACAAGUUUAGACAGGUGUAGAUAAUCAAAAGUCAAAUUGUGAUCAGAUCUUCCUGCCCACCUCCAGAGAGGGUCAGGUGUCUGGAUAUCUUACAAGUGUUGUAAGAUAUCCACACUCAAUCAUGCAGUACAUAUACAGUGGCAAGAAAAAGUAUGUGAACCCUUUGGAAUUACCUGG
RNA transcript from Salvelinus sp. IW2-2015, 1541 nucleotides. It is a transcript of the gene named SLAM family member 5-like, with no coding region annotated. The record is from RefSeq and is a predicted model, not a curated record. Lineage: Eukaryota; Metazoa; Chordata; Actinopteri; Salmoniformes; Salmonidae.